UGGAUCUCUUGUUUUCUCUUCC
Molecule: microRNA, 22 nt
Filed under: Mus musculus (house mouse)
Lineage: Eukaryota; Metazoa; Chordata; Mammalia; Rodentia; Muridae
Description: mmu-miR-6957-3p
Source: miRBase by way of RNAcentral